AAAAAUGUUUUAUAAAUACAAAAUUAGUUUUAAUAAAUAUAAAUAUUUUUAUAAAUAUGAAAUCAUCUUUUAUAAAUCCAAAAAUCGAAUUUAUAUACAAAAAACGUUUUGUAUAUUUAAAAAUAGUUUUUAUAAAUACAAAAAUAAUAAAAUAGUGUUUAUAAAUCAAAAAAAUGUUCUAUAAAUACAAAAUACAAAAAAAUGUUUUAUAAAUACAAAAUUAGUUUUAUAAAUAUAAAUAAUUAUAGAUAUGAAAUCAUCUUUUUAUAAAUACAAAAUAGUUUUUAUAAAUACAAAAACUAAUAAAAUAGUGUUUAUAAAUCAAAAAAAUGUUUUAUAAAUACAAAAUUAGUUUUAAUAAAUAUAAAUAUUUUUAUAAAUAUGAAAUCAUCUUUUAUAAAUCCAAAAAUAGAAUUUAUAUACAAAAAACAUUUUGUAAAAUCCAAAAUCGAUUUUAUAAAUAUAAAAAUAAAAAAAAAUUAAUAAAAAAGUUCUAAAUCAAUUCAACACAACAAAUUAUCCAACCAAAUCACAAUUCUAAACCUAUUACACAACCAAAUCACAAUCCUAACCAAUCACCCUAACAAAAAUCUAACAAAAAACUUCUAAAAUCAUCAAAUCUACUUAAAAACCUAACAAAUAGAACCUAAGAGAGUGGGAUAGGGUCCUUACAUGAUUUGUGUAGGAAUAGAGAGGAUUCGCCGGAGAGAUCGUCGCGAGAGAAGGGGGAAAUCGCCGGAAAAAGAGAGAGAUCGCCGGAGGAAGAAGAGAGAAAUGGGGGAAGAAGAAGUGUUGCGUGUCUAUAAAACCUAGGGUCCGACGGAAACUAUCCGUCGGAAUUUCCUUGGUAUUUUCAAUUUCAAUUUUCGCAAAAUAUUUGGCGGCUUGUUUGCCCG
This 896-nucleotide long non-coding RNA is filed under the name Brassica rapa (field mustard). Its description in RNAcentral is "long non-coding RNA (BRAP_LNC005990)". The record is from RNAcentral. Lineage: Eukaryota; Viridiplantae; Streptophyta; Magnoliopsida; Brassicales; Brassicaceae.